Molecule: long non-coding RNA, 511 nt
Filed under: Anser cygnoides (Swan goose)
Lineage: Eukaryota; Metazoa; Chordata; Aves; Anseriformes; Anatidae
Description: lncRNA (ENSACDG00005001769.1)
Source: RNAcentral
AUGCCUUUUUCCCGUGUCCCUGAAGUGCCAGUUGCUUGUCAAGCACUUGCAGAAGUACAGGAGAACCCCCUCACCUGGAAUCCCAGAGUCGUCAUAACCGCGUCUCGACACCAGCAGCAUUCUCACUCCUGGACAGUGCACACACAAGACUUCAAAAGUGAGACCACAGGACAACAGGGACCUGUAUUGCCAGGGUGCCUUUCAAGGAAGUUAAAGAGAAGCAAUUGGUUUCAAAAAAAAAACACCUUGACCAAAGAAAUCAGUAACAAAGAGUUAUCAGCAACUAAAAAAAACCUAAAACACUGGAACAUUUCUUUUUCAAGAGAGAUUACAGAGCACUGCCAAAUCACAGAUUUAUUCCAGCAUUGGAAAAACAAGACCUGAGAACAGCUUCAGUUCACAAUGCUUAGCGGUGGUAUUUGUGGCAGCUCACAGAGAAGUCCAUGCACAGAAGUGUGCUUUCAACAGCAAAGCAAAUAAAUUCUUUCUGGAAUCAGCUAGUUAAGAAUUU